AACGCACAUUGCGCCCUCUGGUAUUCCGGGGGGCAUGCCUGUUCGAGCGUCAUUAUGACCAAUCACGCAAGUGGUAUUGGGGCUUGCCAGCUUUCGGCAUCCCUUAAAAACAGUGGCGGUGCCAUAGGCUCUCAGCGUAGUAAUUAUUCCGCUCUUGAGUCCUGGACGUACUUGCCAAAACCCCAACUUUCUUAAGGUUGACCUCGGAUCAGGUAGGGAUACCCGCUGAACUUAA
RNAcentral lists this unclassified non-coding RNA (235 nucleotides) under uncultured fungus. RNAcentral's name for it is "partial contains 5.8S ribosomal RNA, internal transcribed spacer 2, and large subunit ribosomal RNA". The stretch from base 1 to 52 matches the Rfam family "5.8S ribosomal RNA", at positions 103 to 154 of the family's 154-position model. RNAcentral also lists the same sequence under 1 other name. Lineage: Eukaryota; Fungi. The record is from RNAcentral.